GGCCGGCGCUAGGCCUAAACGAUCUCCAAACAUCCCUCUCAACCAUGCUAAUCAAAUAGCCCUUUUGCUCCCAAACAGCAAGGGAAACAAAUCCUCUCCUAAAAAUGACUUCACAAAUUCGUUCCCUUUCACUCUCCACCAUCUGCCAAAUCCUCCUUCUCACUCUUUCGAUAAGCAUCAAAUCACUCGCGAACUCACCGGAGAAGAAGACCUCCGCCUUUUUCAUCUUCGGCGACUCCACCGUUGACGUCGGAAACAACAAUUACAUCGAUACGCUCGUGAUGAGCAAAGCAAACAUGCCUCCGUAUGGACAAAAUUUCUUCAACAAGCCUACGGGCCGUUUUUCUAACGGCCGGCUUGUUGUAGAUUUCAUCGCGGAAUAUGCUGAACUUCCAUUAAUUCCACCAUCCAAGCAACCUUCUUCUAAGUUUAUUAAUGGCGCUAACUUCGCGUCGGGAGGAGCAGGCGUUUUGCCUGAAACAUAUCAAGGAUUUGUUAUUGAUUUUCCAACACAGUUGGAGCAAUUCAACAGUGUUGUGAGCUUGCUAACAGCAGAGUUGGGUGAUGCAGAAGCAAGAGAACUGAUUGCCAAUGCUGUUUACUUCAUCAGCAUAGGAAGCAACGAUUACUUGUACUAUUUAGGUAGCCCGAAAGUGCAGGAGAUUUUCACUCCUGAGGAUAUUAUUGCAAUGGUUAUUGGAAAUUUGUCUGAAGCAAUCCAAGGAUUAUAUGAGAAGGGAGCAAGGAAAUUCGGUUUCCUGAGUACAUCCCCAUUAGGGUGUUUGCCUGCUAUAAGAGCAGCAAAUCGGAAAGCAGAUGGAAGUUGUUUUGAGGAUUUCUCUGCACUUGCAUUGGCACAUAACAAUGCUUUAUAUGGUGUGCUCCUAAGCUUUGAACACAUUCUUAAAGACUUUAAGUAUGCCUUCAGCUCAGGCCACUACAGUUGGUUGCAUGAAGUAAUUCAUAAUCCAACUAAAUUUGGGUUUAAAGAUGGAAUCAAUGCUUGUUGUGGGACUGGGCUAUAUGGAGGCAUAUAUAGCUGUGGAGGAAACAAGGAAGUGGCUGAGUACGAGCUGUGUAAUUCACCAGACGAUUUUGUGUUUUGGGAUUCUUUCCAUGGAACCGAGAAGCUUGCAAAGAAAUUAGCAGAUAAACUGUGGGAAGAUCAACCGAACUCAGUCGGGCCAUACAAUCUGAAGGAGCUGUUCUUCAACCAGGAAAAGUCGAGAAUUGAAGAUAUAGUUGAAGCUAAGGAAAACCUUGAGGCGUUUGCUAUGUGAUUUAUGACAUCAAGCUAUGAGAACUUUGGUCAAGUCUUCUGUUCUUUUUGUGGCAGGAGAAAGAGCAUUCAAGCGUGACAUGUGGAGGUGGAAAGGACGAAGAUGAUAACUGAAUUUGACCAAAAAUUUAAGUAAUUAAUGAAAGGCGUGCGGGGAAAUGCACUGGUAUGUUUAAAUUUCUUAUAACCCGGCAACUAAAAUAAUCAUUGAAAGAGUGCUGCAAUUGUAUUUUAGCAGGCUGCAUCCAAGUUUGCAAAAUUAGCUAUGUAUUUAAUUA
Phalaenopsis equestris is the source of this 1557-nucleotide RNA transcript. It is a transcript of the gene named GDSL esterase/lipase 5-like, with no coding region annotated. The record is from RefSeq and is a predicted model, not a curated record. Lineage: Eukaryota; Viridiplantae; Streptophyta; Magnoliopsida; Asparagales; Orchidaceae. The transcript is spliced from 7 exons.